Molecule: long non-coding RNA, 1118 nt
Filed under: Daphnia pulex (common water flea)
Lineage: Eukaryota; Metazoa; Arthropoda; Branchiopoda; Diplostraca; Daphniidae
Description: uncharacterized LOC124193800
Source: RNAcentral
GAGAAAAAGAAUGCUUAAUUUAAAUGUAUAUUUAAAUUCAUGUCCCCAUUUUAGUUUAAGUCUGAAGUAUCGAUUAAUUUAAGUAAGCCGCCAGGUGGGCCAUUUGUCGAGGCAGAAGAGAACAGCUGAUGUUUUAAUUAAGUGUCUUGGCAGAAACAGAAGGUAGCCAUUGUUCAUUUUAGGGCGUAUAUAGCCAUUGGCAACUCGUUUCUUACUGUACUUUAUUGGUGUGAAUUCUCACCUUGUGACUCCCUUUUUCUCAUUUGAUUCUCUGAGAUUAGGCCGGAUUAGGCCCUAGAUUUGAUUUUGUGUCGUUUGUGUCUACGAUUGCCUUAUUGACCAGCUCCUAAUUGUGGAUGCUAGGCAAUUUGUGCUCCGUGCAUUUUGUAUUGACGAAUAAACCCUUGCAUCGAUUAGAAGCAAUUGAUAGGCCUACGCCCCCCUCUUCGACUGUCUCAUUCUCUCGCUGCAACAGGCAUGAUCUAUGAUUAAGAGGUCUACGAACCGUAGUCUGCUAGCAGUGUUGUCUGGUAAUUCUUUAAAAUAAAAUUGGGGCAUCCGCUUGGUGCGGUUGCUGUCCGGGUCAGUCAUACCAGGGGUAUGGAGAGAUGGUUGCCAAUGACAGGGUUAAAUUUCCCUUAAGGGGAGGCUCCAGCAAUUUUACAAAAAGGUCUCUCCGACUGUUGUGCCACCAAAUAGGUGUGUAAGGAAAAAAAAACAAAUUUUCUUUUCGUCUGCUUUUAUUGUUUUCAAGUACAUUUUGACACUUUGGAGUGUUUGUGAAUAGUUGAAUUUGUUUUAGAAAAAUGUUGGUCUCUGUAACGCUUGGAUUCAAAAAAUAUCUGAUAUACUCCAUUAUGAGAAAAGGUAAAGACUGAGAUCUGUGGGUUUCACAAAAUAUCGGAUGAAUAUUUGAGUUAGAAAUAGCAUCGAUACAGAACUCUCCAUAGUCCACAAUGCCCCUCCACUUUUUGUUUCGUUUGUCUUAAUCCAUACCUGGUUUGAGUUUAACUUCGUCCCACAUAAUACUACAGCAUCGGUCAUGUUUAGGUUUACCCUUAAUGUCUUCUCCGACGUUGAAUAAAGCUAGUUCAUUCGAACCGAAAUUGCACUCCAUG